ACGGGUGCGUAACACGUGAGCAAUCUGCCUUAAAGUGGGGGAUAGCUCGCCGAAAGGCGAAUUAAUACCGCAUGUGGUUGUAAAACCAAAGCCGGGGCAACCUGGCGCUUUUAGAGGAGCUCGCGGCCUAUCAGCUUGUUGGUGAGGUAACGGCUCACCAAGGCUUCGACGGGUAGCUGGUCUGAGAGGACGACCAGCCACACUGGAACUGAGACACGGUCCAGACACCUACGGGUGGCAGCAGUCGAGAAUUUUUCUCAAUGGGGGAAACCCUGAAGGAGCGACGCCGCGUGGAGGAUGAAGGCUUUCGGGUUGUAAACUCCUGUCAUUUGGGAACAAAGCCUUACGUUAACUGCGUGGAGGUUUGAUAGUACCAGAAGAGGAAGAGACGGCUAACUCUGUGCCAGCAGCCGCGGUAAUACAGAGGUCUCAAGCGUUGUUCGGAUUCAUUGGGCGUAAAGGGCGCGUAGGCGGCGAGGUAAGUCGGGUGUGAAAUCUCAGAGCUCAACUCUGAAACUGCACUCGAUACUGCUUUGCUAGAGGACUGGAGAGGAGAUUGGAAUUCACGGUGUAGCAGUG
RNAcentral lists this ribosomal RNA (579 nucleotides) under uncultured bacterium. RNAcentral's name for it is "bacterial SSU rRNA". It matches the Rfam family "Bacterial small subunit ribosomal RNA", at positions 102 to 683 of the family's 1533-position model. The record is from RNAcentral.